This 497-nucleotide ribosomal RNA is filed under the name uncultured bacterium. RNAcentral describes it as "partial 16S ribosomal RNA". It matches the Rfam family "Bacterial small subunit ribosomal RNA", at positions 28 to 507 of the family's 1533-position model. The record is from RNAcentral.
GAUGAACGCUGGCGGCGUGCCUAAUACAUGCAAGUCGAGCGGACGGACGAGAAGCUUGCUUCUCUGAUGUUAGCGGCGGACGGGUGUGUAACACGUGUAUAACCUACCUAUAAGACUGGGAUAUUCUCGGAAAACCGGAGCUAAUACCGGAGGAGCUUUUGAACCGCAGUGUUCAAAAGUGAAAGACGGUCUUGGUGGCAGUUCUAGCUGGAUCCGGGCUGCUUUGGCUGGUUGGUACGGUAACGGCUUAUCAAGGCAACGAUGCAUAGCCGACCUGAGAGGGUGGUCGCCCACACUGGAACUUAGACGGGGUCCAUGCUCCUACGGGAGGCAGCAGUAGGGAACCGUACGCAACGGGCGAAAGCCUGACGGAGCGGCGCGGCGUGAGUGAUGAAGGUCUUGGGAUCGUAAAACUCUGUUAUGAGGGAAGAACAUAUGUGUAAGUAACCGUGGACAUCUUGACGGUAACUAAUCAGAAAGCCACGGCUAACUACGUG